RNAcentral lists this transfer RNA (88 nucleotides) under Thermus brockianus. Its description in RNAcentral is "tRNA-Leu". It matches the Rfam family "tRNA". From Rfam's summary of the family: Transfer RNA (tRNA) molecules are approximately 80 nucleotides in length. Their secondary structure includes four short double-helical elements and three loops (D, anti-codon, and T loops). Further hydrogen bonds mediate the characteristic L-shaped molecular structure. tRNAs have two regions of fundamental functional importance: the anti-codon, which is responsible for specific mRNA codon recognition, and the 3' end, to which the tRNAs corresponding amino acid is attached (by aminoacyl-tRNA synthetases). tRNAs cope with the degeneracy of the genetic code in two manners: having more than one tRNA (with a specific anti-codon) for a particular amino acid; and 'wobble' base-pairing, i.e. permitting non-standard base-pairing at the 3rd anti-codon position. Lineage: Bacteria; Thermotogati; Deinococcota; Deinococci; Thermales; Thermaceae. The record is from RNAcentral. RNAcentral also lists the same sequence under 2 other names.
GCCGGGGUGGCGGAAUUGGUAGACGCGGCAGACUCAAAAUCUGUUGCCCGAUGAGGGCGUGCGGGUUCGAGUCCCGCUCCCGGCACCA